Molecule: ribosomal RNA, 372 nt
Filed under: uncultured organism
Description: partial 16S ribosomal RNA
Rfam family: Bacterial small subunit ribosomal RNA
Source: RNAcentral
GUAGGUGGCAGGCGUUGUCCGGAAUUAUUGGGCGUAAAGCGCGCGCAGGCGGUCCUUUAAGUCUGAUGUGAAAGCCCACGGCUCAACCGUGGAGGGUCAUUGGAAACUGGGGGACUUGAGUACAGAAGAGGAAAGCGGAAUUCCAAGUGUAGCGGUGAAAUGCGUAGAGAUUUGGAGGAACACCAGUGGCGAAGGCGGCUUUCUGGUCUGUAACUGACGCUGAGGCGCGAAAGCGUGGGGAGCAAACAGGGAUUAGAUACCCUGGUAGUCCACGCCGUAAACGAUGAGUGCUAAGUGUUAGGGGGUUUCCCGCCCCUUAGUGCUGCAGCUAACGCAUUAAGCACUCCGCCUGGGGAUACGGCCGCAAGGCUG